This 253-nucleotide ribosomal RNA is filed under the name uncultured bacterium. RNAcentral describes it as "partial 16S ribosomal RNA". It matches the Rfam family "Bacterial small subunit ribosomal RNA", at positions 524 to 776 of the family's 1533-position model. The record is from RNAcentral.
UACAGAGGGUGCGAGCGCUAAUCGGAAUUACUGGGCGUAAAGCGUGCGUAGACGGCUAUCUAAGUCGGGUGUGAAAGCCCCGGGCUCAACCUGGGAAUUGCAUUCGAGACUGAAUAGCUAGGGUACGGUAGAGGGAAGUGGAAUUUCCGGUGUAGCGGUGAAAUGCGUAGAUAUCGGAAGGAACAUCAGUGGCGAAAGCGACUUCCUGGACCAGUACCGACGUUCAGGCACGAAAGCGUGGGGAGCAAACAGG